GAUGAACGCUGGCGGCGUGCCUAAUACAUGCAAGUCGAGCGAACGGACGAGAAGCUUGCUUCUCUGAUGUUAGCGGCGGACGGGUGAGUAGCACGUGGAUAACCUACCUAUAAGACUGGGAUAACUUCGGGAAACCGUAGCUAAUACCGGAUAAUAUUUUGAACCGCAUGGUUCAAAAGUGGAAGACGGUCUUGCUGUCACUUAUAGAUGGAUCCGCGCUGCAUUAGCUAGUUGGUAAGGUAACGGCUUACCAAGGCAACGAUGCAUAGCCGACCUGAGAGGGUGAUCGGCCACACUGGAACUGAGACACGGUCCAGACUCCUACGGGAGGCAGCAGUAGGGAAUCUUCCGCAAUGGGCGAAAGCCUGACGGAGCAACGCCGCGUGAGUGAUGAAGGUCUUCGGAUCGUAAAACUCUGUUAUUAGGGAAGAACAUAUGUGUAAGUAACUGUGCACAUCUUGACGGUACCUAAUCAGAAAGCCACGGCUAACUACGUG
RNAcentral lists this ribosomal RNA (497 nucleotides) under uncultured bacterium. Its description in RNAcentral is "partial 16S ribosomal RNA". It matches the Rfam family "Bacterial small subunit ribosomal RNA", at positions 28 to 507 of the family's 1533-position model. The record is from RNAcentral.